Molecule: ribosomal RNA, 496 nt
Filed under: uncultured bacterium
Lineage: Bacteria
Description: partial 16S ribosomal RNA
Rfam family: Bacterial small subunit ribosomal RNA
Source: RNAcentral
AUGCACGCUGGCGGCGUGCCUCAUCCAUGCAAGUCGCGCGCACGGACGAGAAGCUUGCUUCUCUGAUGUUAGCGGCGGACGGGUGAGUAACACGUGGAUAACCUACCUAUAAGACUGGGAUAACUUCGGGAAACCGGAGCUAAUACCGGAUGAUAUUUUGAACCGCAUGGUUCAAAAGUGAAAGACGGUCUUGCUGUCACUUAUAGAUGGAUCCGCGCUGCAUUAGCUAGUUGGUAAGGUAACGGCUUACCAAGGCAACGAUGCAUAGCCGACCUGAGAGGGUGAUCGGCCACACUGGAACUGAGACACGGUCCAGACUCCUACGGGAGGCAGCAGUAGGGAAUCUUCCGCAAUGGGCGAAAGCCUGACGGAGCAACGCCGCGUGAGUGAUGAAGGUCUUCGGAUCGUAAAACUCUGUUAUUAGGGAAGAACAUAUGUGUAAGUAACUGUGCACAUCUUGACGGUACCUAAUCAGAAAGCCACGGCUAACUACGUG